Molecule: transfer RNA, 74 nt
Filed under: Myotis lucifugus (little brown bat)
Lineage: Eukaryota; Metazoa; Chordata; Mammalia; Chiroptera; Vespertilionidae
Rfam family: tRNA
About the family: Transfer RNA (tRNA) molecules are approximately 80 nucleotides in length. Their secondary structure includes four short double-helical elements and three loops (D, anti-codon, and T loops). Further hydrogen bonds mediate the characteristic L-shaped molecular structure. tRNAs have two regions of fundamental functional importance: the anti-codon, which is responsible for specific mRNA codon recognition, and the 3' end, to which the tRNAs corresponding amino acid is attached (by aminoacyl-tRNA synthetases). tRNAs cope with the degeneracy of the genetic code in two manners: having more than one tRNA (with a specific anti-codon) for a particular amino acid; and 'wobble' base-pairing, i.e. permitting non-standard base-pairing at the 3rd anti-codon position.
Source: Rfam by way of RNAcentral
GCCAGCAUGGCUCAAUGGUUAGAGUGUCAGCCUGGACACCCGAGGGUCGAGGGUUCGAUUCCCAGUUGAGGGCA